ACAGCCUGUAGUCACAGAAUGUUCUGGGCUCACCCUCUUCUCUGGCCUGGGGAAGUGAGGCUCAGCGUAGAGGCUGUACCCACAGGCACAUGACGGUCUGCACCCAGGCCAGGGCUCAGUGAGGAGCCGGAGUGUCCCGGCCUGCCUGGACUCCAGCCGGGACCUCCCACAUGAGGCUCAUUCAUCUAUGCCCAGGAUUCUCAAAGAACCCCGGCCCCAGCCUGCUCUCUGUCAUGUGCUGAGCCCCAAGCUUACCCAUGCCUCCUGCCGUGGGGACCAGAGAAUGAGAAGACCACCAGGGAGACCCGCCCUGGAGACCAUGGUGUGCUGCUGACUCACGAGAAUGACAUCACCAAGUGUGCCCUCUGUCCUGUCACUUGGAGCUCCUGGAAGCACAGAAUGUCCCUCAGCCUGGACACUGCCCCUGGCCUGGGGAGGUAGAUGCUCCCCACCUCCCCUCCUGCCCUAGUGCAGAGGAAAGAAGAUCAAAUCUGGAGUCAGCAGACAUAGGAGUCUAAUCCCUGGUUCUGAUAUAUCUAGGCAGUCAUUGCCUUAGCCACACUCAGCCUUAAUCUCCUGAUCUGCAAAAUGGGGAGAACCACACUAACUUUGCAGUUUGCGGUGAGAGUCAAGGAAACCCACGUGAGAAGUGUCUGGCACUGUGCCUCGCAUGUAGUAAGUACUCACUAAAUACUCGUUUACAGUUUUUUUCCCCUCCCUGUCUUAACCUUUUUUUCUCCAGUAAGUGACUGGGGACAGGAGUCCACUCUAAGAACCUCUGCCUGCCCUCAGAACUCCGUGGCCAGUGAGGGCUGCAUGACCCCUUUGUGCUGGGAAGGUGCAUCUCAGGACACUGACCUGCCUGUGCCCAGGCUCAUGGUGUGGGCAGAGAAACUGUGGGUGAGACCUUUGUGAAAAUGGAAACCCAGAUGACCGGGAAGGGGAGGGGCCCCAGGAGGAGGGAGAACCAAAGGUCCUUGCUGUCUGUUAUUCCACCUGUUUGUUUUCCCCUAAUCCCCAGCCCACAGGGAGCUGCCACAUUUCCCCUGACUCCCCCAGCGGGCCCAGCUCAGGGGCAGAGGCCGAGCAACACAAGCUGAUCAGGCCACCAUCACUGUUGGCUUCUGUGCCCAGGGGGUCCCUGCAGCCACCAUCAGGAAAGCUCCCACCCUGGGGACAGUCUCUCCUGCCUCCUGUUCUUCCUGGGGUCAAAGACGUGCUCCUGCUCAAGGGUGAGCAGGUGCAUGGGCUGGUGCCACCAGCUGGUACAGUGGCUCCCUUCUGCUCCCAUGAGGGGCCUGGGAGAUAUUUCAGGGCUCUGUCCUCAGCCAAGCGUGGACUCAGCCAAACACUUGGGCAGGAGGGAUGGUAUCUUGUUGCCUUCAGGGCUUGGCUGAGCCCAGGGUCGAGAGCAUUUUCAGAUAGAUGCCUGCUAACACACCAAACACGUCACUCCUUAACAAGAUCUCCCUUGUGCCAGGGCUUGAGCUGAGCUCCAGGGAGUGAGAGAAAGGGGACCUAACAGACUUGUGGGAGACGAGCGUGAAGACAAAGCAAUGACCCCAGAUAGGCCAGUCGCAAAUGCCAGGAAAGAUCCACGGACCCUGGAGUUUCACCUGGACCUUGAGAAACAGAAUUUGAAUAUUGUGGAGAUUAACAAAACAAAACACCACAGGAGCAAAGGUCCUGAGUGAAGCUGGCCCUUUGGGGCUGGUGUAUCUGGUCAGCUGGUAGGCAUGGAGGGCCCACCCCACGGGGAGAAGCCAGGCAGAGAAAGAAGGCUGGAGGCGGCCGGAAAAGACGGAAAAGACACAGGUGUCAGGCGACGUUUGAAUUGAUUUUCAGCACUAGGGAGCCAUCUCUGAUCAGGGAGUGGAGUGAGCAGAAAUGCCUUCUGGAGGAGGCCUUGAAACCACCUUUGCAAAAAUGGUAUCAGUGAGAAAAUUAUGACAGUGAAAGAGAUCUCAGCUAACCUACCCCCAAUCUUUCCUUUCCCUUCCUUAUUCCUGGGUAUUGGGCCGAGCUAACUUUGAAGACAUUUAGGCUGUAGUUUAAAUGGUAACAGGCCUUGUCCCAAAACGCAGCUGCUUUUGUAAAGCUAAUGAGAGGCCAUCAGGCCUGGGGGAGUAGAGGGCCCUGACUCCUGCUAAGGCGCAGACAUAAAAGACUGUCAGCCACGAUGCCAGAGGUCAGAAGACAGGCAACUUCCCUAAUUACUCCUGCAAAUAAUGCCAAUGUUGUGAACCUAAGGUCGGCCUUCCGAGAUACCUUUUCAGGCCUUUUGCAUGUCUGACACCCAUGGCUCCACCUGGACCCGCCAACCUUGCCCCUGUGGCCCCACCCAGAAGUGACUCAGCACCCAGGAGGACAGCUUCGACCCCCUAAGAUUUCAUCUCUGCCAACAGCAAGCACCUGUUACCUGGCCACCCCCAACUCUUCCCCCAAACUGCCUUUGAAAAACCCCUAACCUACAAGCUUUGAAGAUAAUUUCAGUACUAACUCUGUCUCCCACAUGGCACGGCGGGCCUUGGGUCUGUUCAAUUCUUUCUUUACUGCAAUUCCACGACCUUUCUUCAUGCAGUGGGCAGGAAGAACUCCUCCAGUGAUUACAGCCUGGGGUGCAGGGUCUGGAUGGACGGAGCAGCACCUGGAGAGGGCCGUUAACCCUCUGUUGUCCAUGUGUGGCUAGGCGAGGGCUGCAGCCAGACCCAUGGCCUUAUCUGCCUGCAGGGCCCGCCUGAGCCCUCAGUGACAGACACAGGUUUCUAAGCCAACCCAGAGGGGAUGCAGAGCCCUCCCUUUGGAGAGUUGAGAUCCUGCUGAACCUAGGAAAGUACUGAAACACCAGCAGAGAGCUCACAGAGCAGCCAUGGCCAGGGCUCAGGCACUGCCUGCGGCCCACCCUGGAGCUCCCACGCCCACCUGUCUCAUCUUUCCAGAACUGGCCCAUCUCUGCAGAGUUGGCAGCAGGUCCUCCUGCCAGCUGAGAGCCAGCUCCAGGACUCCUUGGCUUUUUCCAGGCAGAGCCCAAGGCCCAGGUGCCAAACCCGUGUCCCAGCUCUUCUUGGCAGGCCUGGCCCUUGUUUGUCUUUGGGUUUUUCAACUUUUUAUUUUGGAAUCAUUACAGACAAGUUGCAACGAUAGUACAGAGAGUUCGUUCCCAUGUACCCUCACCCAGCUUCCGCUAGUGUUAACGUCUUACAUAACCGUGGUACACUUGUCAAAGCAAAGAAAUUAACAUUGGAACAAUACUAUUAAUUGAACUACAGACUUUAUUUGGAUUUUAGAGUUUUUCCUUAAGGGACAUUACAGUGUCAUUUUUCUUGCCUAGGCCCAAUCCCGGUUGCCACGUUGCAUUUAGUUGUCACGUCCUUUGGUCUCCUUUCACCUGGGACCACUUCUCAGGGUUUCCUUGCUUCUUAUGACCUUGACAAUUUUUUUUAAAUUAUGGUAAAAUAGAUACGUAACAUAUUGCUAUUUUAACCAUCUUUAAGUGUAUAAUUAAGUGGCAGUAAUUGCAUUCACAAUGUUGUGAAACCAUCAUCACUAUUUCCAAAACAGAAACUCUGCCCCUUAACCAGUAACUCUCCACUCCCCUCCUCCCAGGUACCUUUUUUUUUUUUCUUUUGCGACAGAGUCUUGCUCUGUUGCCCAGGCUGCAAUGAUCUUGGCUCACUGCAACCUCCACUUCCCAGGUUCAAGCAAUUCUCCUGCCUCAGCCUCCCGAGUAGCUGGGAUUACAGGUGCCUGCCAACAUGCCCAGCCAGUUGUUUGUAUUUUUAGUAGAGACGGGGUUUUGCCAUGUUGGCCAGGCUGGUCUCGAACUCCUGACCUCAGGUGAGCCACCCACCUCGGCCUCCCAAAGUGCUGGGAUUAUAGGCGUGAGCCACCGCACCUGGCCCCAGGUACCUCUUAAGAGGCUUAGAGGAGCCCCUACCACAGCCUCAUGCCCAAGAAAGAGGUCUUGUUGUUUCUGGCCAGAAUUGGUCCUUCCAGACCCUAAAGCUACACAAAGAAGCCUGCAGGAGUCGCUCCCUUCCUUAUGGUGUCCAUGGUGGGCACGAAUCCUUGAUCCUUAGCAAAAUGCAUACUCACUAAGGGUAGAGAGAAGUAGAAAGUCCCCAUCCUGCCCCCUUCUCCUGUGUUGGCUUUUGUUUGUUUGUGUUUGUUUGUUUGUUUUCUGAGAUAGGCGCUUGCUCUGUCAGGGCUGGAAUGCAGUGGUGCAAUCACGGCUCACUGUAGCCUUGACCAACCCCCCACCCGGGCUCAAGUGAUCCUUGGGCCUCAGCCUCCUGAGUAGCUUACGCACCACCACACUCAGCUAAUUUUUAAUUUUUUUUUUGUAGAGACUUGGUGUCCCUGUGUUGCCCAGGGUGGUCCUGUACUGGCUUUUUAACAAAGGCUGAGACACCUUAGACAUAGCUACUGACAGCUCCCUGGCUGAAGUCCGAACACCCAGCACUAGCAUUUCUCUUUGUGGGGUCAAUGUGGGGUUCUCAGAGGAGUCUACCCAGGCAGAGCACCCUAGAUAGAGGUGCCCACUGCCCACCGGCCCCAGCUGUUAUCACCAUCGUGGUAGUCAUGCAGACGAGAGUAUCACUCUGCAUAACUGCAGUCCCAAAUUGGGGAUGCCAUCCUCAACAGGCUGUCUCCAAGGGCACACUGGACACAGGAUGGCCUCAAAGCCAGGGGUGUGAGACCAGAGCCCGCACCAUGCGGGCCUCUGCCACCUUGUAACAGGCAUGGGACAGCAAUGUGCCUGGCUUCCUGCCCCCAGGGCCACAGCCUUCUGGCCACAAUCAGCAGACUCAGCCCUGCCACAGAUCCGGGCACUCAGGACCCGGGCGCCCGUUGCCAGACUCCUGUCAUCGGUCUCCAGCCACCUGUCCAGACACUCGUGCACCCCGAUGGAACGUACUUGCUGCUUCCUCCCCUUUCCCUUACAAAAUAUCCUUCUAUAACUCUUCAUGGCACCAAACCUUUUACCAGUAUAUGCAGAGCCUGUUUGUCUCCGAAUCCAGUUUAGCUUUCCCAGUACAGUGACCAACUCAUCUCAGUUUACUCAGGACUUCCCUGGUUUUCACACGGAAAGUCCUGUGUCCUGGGCAGCCCCUCAGUCCCAGGAAACCAGGAUGGUUGCUCACCCUAUUUCCCAGCCUCUGCACCUACCAAUCCCCACCGGGAAAGCCCAGAUUAUUCACACCUCCACGUAGCCAUCUCUCCUGACCUCCAGCCUUCACAAAUGCUGUUCCCUCCACCUGAAUGCCCUUCCUCAUCUUUGACUAUCAAAAGCCAAUGCAAUGUUCAAGUCCAGCUCCUCUGUGAGGGCUUCCUGGUCCCCACCCUGGAGUCAGAGCUCCCUCCUCCAUCCCCCUGGGGCUCACUUUGAAGCUCCAAAGGGAAGGGCCUCAGGGCUGGGGCAAGGCAUGGAUCCCCCUGAGUGUGCAAAGCGUCAGAAUCAGUAACUGGCACAGCUCCAGCUGCCUCCCUCUCCUCACCCAGUAGUGAGCAACACGAGGGCAGAGACGGCUGGUUUUACCCCCUGUUACACAUCAGGUGCUCAUUAAUACUGUAUUCCCAACCUCCUCCAGCUGUGUUUGUCGGCCCCUCGGGCCUCAUGUUGUUGCUCUGGCACCCCAGGGGCUCAGGUGGAGCCACGGCCAGGACAGGCCUCACCAUUGGCAAGGGCACUCAAGCUCCCAGGUGGACUCCCAACCUAUCCAGGCACUACAGCCAAGGGUAAGAGCCCUGGACUGGGGCCGACCUGCUUCCAAUGACCCACCGUCCAACCUCGCCUUACCUUAUCCGUAGGAGCCAUUUGACAAGCUCUUGUUGAACAAAUGCUACACAUGAACACAUGGGCUGUGUCCUGAAGCUGGAUGUGCAGUCUUGAAGGAAUCCUACGCUUCAUGAAUGAGGAUUUGACAUCUGGCAGAGGUCUUUAUGAACACAUUUAUGAUCAUCCUUCAAAGCAACCACAUGAAAUGGGCCAGGGGCUUGUUCUCUUUUAGCAGACAGACGGGUUGAGUCACCACAAGAUGCUGUUAUGGUUUAAAUGUGUGGAGCUAUAUAUAUACAUACACACAUACACAUGUAUAUAUCAAUCAAGCUAUACUUAUCCCCAAUAACAGAGAGGAAAAAUAUAUUAUUAGAAUAAGAGCCGCAUAUUUUGGAAAACUUACCAUGUGCCAGAGACUGUUCUAAUUAUUUUAUAAACAUGUCUCUUGUGGUUUUCAAGAUAACUAUAGAAGGUAACUAUUAUUACUUUUUAACAAAUGAAAGCAAACCUCAGGUUAAGUGACUGGCCCAAGGUCACACAGCAAGCAGUGACAGAGCUAAGUUGCGCUGGCUCUAAAGACCAUGUGUUAUCAACAGCGUCCUCCUGCCUUCUUAUGAAAUGGAAUCCAUAUCAAACUGCUAAGCUUUGUUUUUAGCAAAUAACAUGACUGUCUGGGCUGUGGGCUUAAGGAACAGUGAGUUUGGGGGCAAAGGUCACCCUCUAAUAGUGCUUCAUAAUAUUUCUCCCAGAGAAAGACUCUGGAGCCAGGCAGAUCUGGAUCCAGAUUCCAGUUCUGCCACUUCCUAGCUGUGUCCUCUCACUGAGCUCUCAGAGGCCUCCUUGGCCCGCAUGCUCAGUGGAGUGUCUGGUUGGCCCCGCAGCCCUUGUGUCCAGAUCUGCUGGGCGACACAGUGCCUGGCUGUGCCCUGCAGAGGCUUUCCUGUCCCUGGCUCCCAUGCUUCCCCUGAGGAGAGCAGGCGAUGGGUGUCAGCUUAUGUGAGCCCUUUGGUUGCAUGGAUCGGGUGAAAAACAGACAGAGCUGAAGAAUUUGAACUGAGAUGUCAAUUGUGGAGCAGGAUUACUCAUAGCAGCCACCGCCCACUAGGCCAGAACACCUUCGUUUAAACAAACCAACAUCCCAGGGGACAGUGCCUGUUGAGCAAGCUGCUGAGAGCCCUUCACUAGUGCUGAGUCCUCAGGCCUGCAGGGGACACUCCACAUCUGACCCUGCAGGAGAGCGGUGUCCAGGAGCAGGCACCUCAGAUCCAUCCAAGUCACACAGGGAGGCCAGAAGGGCAGCGGGGACACUGAACGCUCUACACGUCCUGAGGUCCCUGACCUCAUAGGCUGGAGGGGAGCAUUUGCUUUGUCUUGUGGAAAGUCCCCAAGUGGAUGGGCUAACAAUCGAUUCCAGUUGCACCCACGCUGCUAACUCUGGCCAUGUUUCCUAUACUUCCGUUCCUGUGAUCCAUCUCUUGCCCCUUCCAGAUCAGACAGUGACCUCCCGGGCCUCCUGGGGAUGCAGUUGUCCUCCCUGCACUCAGAUCUGGAGCUGCUGCUUCCUAGCGGAGGAGUCAGCCUACCGAGCCAGGCCGUUGUCAAGCCCUGAGCCCUCCCCACUUCCGCCUCUGCCCGCUUUCCUGUCCCAGCUGUGAGCCUCUCCGGGGACUCAUUUAAACUGAAGACAAUUGCCUCAGAUAAAGAACAACUGGCCUCCUCCCUAUGUGGCUAAAAUUAUCAAAAACCGAAGAGGGCGUUGCUGACCUCAGCCUUCCCCAGCCUUUCUCCUGCCUUGGUCCACUUGAAUAUCCCUCUGGGAGCCUGUGACAGCUGCCUACGUGGGACCCCACACAGAAACGGGGCUGAAGAAGGCAGUCCCAGCCUCGCAAGGCAUUCAGUUCCUGCAGUGUCUGCAGCCAAAUCCCAAGAUAGAGCCAGUCUGCUUGGUUCCCUGGCCCCAGGUUUCUCAGAGCUCCUCCGGCAGCCCAGGAGGCUGAGCUGCACUGCCUGCAUUUCCUGGCUUCACAUCACGUACACAUAGAGCUUGGGGCCCGGGCAACCAUGGCAUGGAAGCCCAGACCACCUAAAUUCUUCCUUAGGACCACCAGUGCCAUUGCCUCAGCCAUAACCCCCUGAGACUCCUCGCGGACCAGCAUGGCGACUGGUCCCACAACCAUCUCCAUGCCUGCUUCCUCUUCCCCAUUCAAGCUUCUCAACAUCUGUCAUUCUUGGUGUUAGCUAUAUCCCAGCUCCUGUAUUAUUCCAUUGCAUCCAGAAUGCUUUGAGGAAGGAAUGUCAUAGACCCCCUUUUUUAACCCCCUCUUCCCAGAGAGAUGUGCUCAGGAAUAGGUGCCCAACAGGAAGUAUUUGAUUGAGAGCUUAUUUGUCCCUCCAGGAGAUAUUCAAGGAGAGCCCCCAUCCAGACCCCAAGCGAGAAGAGCUACCGUGUCUCACAGGGCCCACAGCCCAUCACCCACAUCAUCCCACGGAGGGCGGGGAUUAUGCCCAGUGUGCAGAAGGGUUGACAAAGGCCAGGUAGGGGAAGUGGCUGGCUCUGCUUACAUGGACCCAAGACUCACUCCAGAACCCCUGACCUUCCGCUGAAGGAUCUUUGCACCAACUCUCCUGGCCCCAGUGGGUCUGGCUCACCAGAAGUUAGGCCUGGAAGGGAGGAGGCUGGGUGGGGGGACAUAGAAGGCAAAAGCAGCAGUGUCCUCACAUGGAACUGUUCCUCCAGGUCCUUUCCCUGGGACCCCUCCCUGGAGAGCUCUCCCUGCUCUCUCUGGCUUCCUUUCCCUUCUGUCAACCCUAAUAGCAUAGGUUUUGGUGUCAGGCAGUCCUGCGUUGGAAUCUCAGAUUCCCAGGGACAGUCAUGAUUUAUACGUGUUGUCCCGGUAUACUAAUACAUCAAGGCUCCUUGUCACCCUCAAACAUGCGCAUUAGGACCAUGCAUCAUGUGUCCCGCUUACAAAGACAGAAGGCAAGGUCUGUGGACAGCUGGAGGAUGACCUAGUUAGGGAGCCUCUAGGAACCCAUCUAGUUCUGCGAUGGAGGGGAACAGAGAAUGGGGUGUUUCCCUGAUGACCCUGCUGUGGAGGAGCUGGCUGCUUCUGCAGGGAGAUGCUGCAGCCCCAGAAGGAAGCCCUGGCCAUGUGUCUCAAGUUGCUUUGCAAAACAAGCACCAGGAAAGAAAAACAGCAUCUAUAUUUCCCUGAGGUGGGCCAGCAUCCAGAGGCUGAAGGCACCUGGGGAUAGGGACACUACAUCACACACUUCAGGGGGUGCCAGUCAUGUCACGGUCUGUGUGAACGGUGCCUCCUGGGAAUGUACAGCUCCCAGCCUGCUCACUGCAAAGCAGGAAUUGGUGAGCUGUGACUAGAUGAUGUCAGAGAGCAAGAAUAAGUAAGGACCAGGAAAGCUACAAAAUAUAGAAGACUACAUCUUUUUUAAAUUAAUUAAUUAGUUAAUUUAUUUAUUUAUUUAUUAUGUUUUGAGACAGAGCCUUGCUCUGUUGCUCAGGCUGGAGUGCAGUGGUAUGAUCUCUGCUCACUGCAACCUCCAUCUACCAGGUUCAAGCAACUCUCCUGCCUCAGCCUCCUGAGUAGCUGGGAUUACAGGCGCUCAUCACCAUGCCCAGCUAAUUUUUGUAUUUUUAGUAGAGACAGGGUUUCACCAUGUUUGCCAGGCUGGUCUCAAACUCCUGACCUUGUGAUCCAUCUGCCUCAGCCUCCCAAAGUGCUGGGAUUACAGGCAUGAGCCACCAUGCCCAGCCGAAAGCCUACAUCUUUAAGGAGAGGAAUCAUUCUGUCUGGGGAGGAACUCCUUUAAAUCAGUUCAACUCAACUCAUAUGAACAAAUAUUGAUCAUGCAAUUACUGUGCGCUCUGCUGGGCAAGGCCAUUAUGGUGGGGGUGGCGGUGGGGUGAUCAGGCAUCCUGAUCAGGCAGGGGUGAUCAGGCAGGCGGUGGGGUGAUCAGGCAUUGAGAAGCUCAUAGGACAGGAGGGGAGUGCGCAGGGUCUGUCCCUUCCUCUCCCCAGGCAGA
RNAcentral lists this long non-coding RNA (9821 nucleotides) under Homo sapiens (human). Its description in RNAcentral is "HSALNT0300964". Lineage: Eukaryota; Metazoa; Chordata; Mammalia; Primates; Hominidae. The record is from RNAcentral.